AUUUUUACUAAAAAAAGGCAGAACCCAUCAUUAUGGUUUUGCACCCUUUCCCACGGUAUCAUGAUUACAAGAUUCAAACUUCAUUUUCUUCCAGGAGGAAUAAAAAGGGGAGGGAGCAACAGGAAGAGGGGUUACUCUCUUAUCUUCAUGAUCUAGGUUUUUUUUUUUCAUUUCACAGUGCCUCCAUUUUUUAUGAUCCCCAUCCAAUCCACCACCCAAAAGAAAAAACAAUGGUGUUGUCCCUUCAUCAGCUCAUGCCUCAACCAACAUAGGAACCUUCAUGUUCAUUAGCUUAAACCCUUCCAUCUAUCCAUCUUUGUCCGAAAAGCCUUACAUUGUGGGAGUGAUUGGAACCAGUGGGGAGUGUUCAAGGAGAAGAAGAAAAAAGUGUAACAAGAGGUGAGAAACACACAAACUAAUCCCAAGGAAGAGGGGACUGGAAGACUUGCAGCCAUACCAGGUUCGUGUGAGUCACUGAGCAGAGGAGUUGAGCAAAUUGGUGCGGGUUGCAAUGAGAAUUGGGUUGUGGAAGCCAUUUUUGGAAGAAGGAGCAAAGGUUAGGAGAGUUUUAGUUGAAGGACAUUCCUCCAAAUUUGAUUUCAGCAAGGAUUCCAGGUAUUUGGGUGAAGCAAUUUUGGAGCUUGGACGUCAAUAUUCAGUUGAAGAGAGUCGCCACGUCAUUUCCACAUCAUUUCCAUGUCAUUUCCACGUCAGCAAAGUCAAUGGGUCAACAUUUAAGGCCCAGAGUGGCAUUUUUGUAAUUUUGCAACUCACAAUGGCAGUUUCGUAAUUCUGAGUGGCAGGGGUGAUAUGACCACGAAAUUAGGUCUGCAUAGGGGAGACCAACCGCUCCUUCUUCUGCACUCUCUCAAACCUCCAUUUUUGUUGUUUUUAAGCUUUGGAAGGUGACCUAUGGUGGCACACACGAAUUUUUCACGUUUUCCAUUGGUUUUUCACGUUUUAUGAGUCUUGGACAGCACAUUGAAGUUGUAUUAACGUUUUCUACCAUUUGGGUAACAUUUAUAUUGAAGUAUUUUCGUUU
This is a long non-coding RNA of Vigna unguiculata (cowpea), 1042 nucleotides long. RefSeq lists it as uncharacterized. The record is from RefSeq and is a predicted model, not a curated record. NCBI's taxonomy places the organism in Eukaryota, Viridiplantae, Streptophyta, Magnoliopsida, Fabales, Fabaceae.